AUGGCGAACAACGGGUUCAUCGCUGAGAAGGACCCGCUACAUUGGGGCGCUGCGGCGGCCGAGCUCACCGGCAGCCACCUCGACGAGGUCAAGCGCAUGGUGGCACACUUCCGCGAGCCUGUCGUCAGGAUCGUGGGCGCCGGCCUCAGCGUCGGCCAGGUGGCUGCCGUCGCCCUGGCAAAGGAUGGUUCGAACGUCACCGUGGAGCUCGCCCACGAGGCGCGCCCCCGCGUCAAGGCCUGCAGCGAGUGGAUCCUGGAUUCCGUGGCCAACGGCGGCGACAUCUACGGCGUCACCACAGGCUUCGGCGGCACCUCCCACCGUCGCACCAAGGAUGGGCAAGGCCUCCAAGUUGAGCUCGUCAGGCAUCUCAUUGCUGGUGUAUUUGGCAUUGGAAGCAAACACGAGCUGCCAUCAGAGGUUACACGCGCAUCCAUGCUCGUUCGCAUCAACACCCUCCUCCAAGGCUAUUCUGGCAUACGUUUUGAGAUUCUUGAAGCCAUCACAAAGCUCAUCAACAAAGGAGUACACCCGAGGAUUCCCCUCCGGGGCAGCAUCACCGCGAGCGGCGACGUUGUCCCGCUUGCUUACAUCGCCGGUGUCCUUACCGGACGCCCCAACGCCCAGGCAGUUACCAAUGACGGUAGGAUGGUGGACGCCGCCGAGGCAUUGAAGAUCGCCGGGAUAGAUGGUGGCUUCUUCAAGCUGAACCCCAAGGAGGGGCUUGCAAUUGUAAAUGGCACGGCGGUGGGUUCUGCCCUCGCAGCCAUGGUGUUGUUUGACUGCAACGUCCUGGCUGUCCUAUCUGAAAUUUUGGCCGCGAUGUUUUGUGAGGUAAUGUACGGCAAACUGGAGUACACCGACCACCUGAUCCACAAGCUGAAACAUCACCCUGGCUCGAUCGAGGCAGCGGCUAUCAUGGAGCACAUUCUGGCUGGUAGCUCGUUCAUGGUCCAUGCCAAGAUGGUGAAUGCUAUGGACCCACUCCUCAAGCCAAAGCAGGACAGGUAUGCACUCCGUACUGCGCCUCAGUGGCUUGGCCCGCAGAUUGAGGUCAUCCGGGCAGCUACCAAGUCUAUCGAGCGUGAGGUGAACUCUGUCAAUGACAACCCGGUCAUCGACGUCAAACGUGGCAAAGCACUCCAUUGUGGUAAUUUCCAGGGAACACCCAUUGGUGUGUCCAUGGACAACACCCGUCUUGCCAUUGCUAACAUUGGGAAACUCAUGUUUGCGCAGUUCUCAGAGCUCGUGAAUGAGUUCUACAACAAUGGGCUGACGUCGAACCUGGCCGGCAGUCGCAACCCGAGCUUGGACUAUGGCCUCAAAGGCAUCGAGAUUGCCAUGGCUUCCUACUGCUCCGAGCUCCAAUACCUUGCCAACCCAGUGACCACCCAUGUCCAAAGUGCGGAGCAACACAAUCAGGGGGUGAACUCGCUCGGCCUUAUCUCAGCCAGGAAGACUGCAGAAGCGGUGGACAUGUUGAAACUCAUGUCCUCCACGUACAUUGUGGCGCUUUGCCAGGCAAUCGACCUCCGCCACCUUGAGAGGAACAUCAAGAUCAACGUCAACAGAUGUGUGGAAGAAGUUGCCAAGAAGGUGCUCAACGCCCCCAGCAUCGAGGAGAUUCUCAUGGCUGCCACCGACCGCGUGGACGUGUUCAGCUACGCCGAUGACCCCUGUAGCCCCAACUACCCCCUGAUGCACAAGCUACGCAGCGUGCUCCUCGAGCAUGCUCUCGCCAGUAGGAGCAAUGACGACGAGGUUUUGUCCAAGAUCAGUAAGCUGGAGGAGGAGCUCGGGUUGGCGCUGCCACGGGAGGUCGAGGCGGCACGCGUCGCCGUGGAGAAGGGCACUGCACCCAUCCCCAACAUGAUCAAGGGGAGCAGGUCAUUCCCGCUCUACCAGUUUGUUCGCGAGGAACUCGGUUGUUUGUUCCUGACCGGGGAGAAGCUUCUCGCGCCCGGCGAAGAGUGUGACAAAGUGUUCGUGGGGAUCAGCCAGGGCAAGCUCAUCGACCCCAUGCUCGAGUGCCUCAAGGAGUGGAACGGUGAGCCUCUGCCCAUUGACUAA
Molecule: ribosomal RNA, 2070 nt
Filed under: Triticum aestivum (bread wheat)
Lineage: Eukaryota; Viridiplantae; Streptophyta; Magnoliopsida; Poales; Poaceae
Description: partial small subunit ribosomal RNA
Source: RNAcentral